This 86-nucleotide transfer RNA is filed under the name Defluviicoccus vanus. RNAcentral describes it as "tRNA-Leu". It matches the Rfam family "tRNA". From Rfam's summary of the family: Transfer RNA (tRNA) molecules are approximately 80 nucleotides in length. Their secondary structure includes four short double-helical elements and three loops (D, anti-codon, and T loops). The record is from RNAcentral. RNAcentral also lists the same sequence under 2 other names. Lineage: Bacteria; Pseudomonadati; Pseudomonadota; Alphaproteobacteria; Rhodospirillales; Rhodospirillaceae.
GCCGGUGUGGCGGAAUGGUAGACGCGACGGACUCAAAAUCCGUUUCUCGCAAGGGAGUGGGGGUUCGAGUCCCUUCACCGGCACCA